AGAGUCCAGGUUGGCGGGUCCUGGGGCGGAGUCAGGAUAGGGCGAUCCUGGAAGCUGGGCUUCAGAAGCGUCCAGGUUGGUGGCGUCCUGGAGGCGGUGCCUUGCGUGUGGGCAGGAUAAGAGUCCUGGAGGCGAGCAUUAGAGCGGGGAUAAACGCCAUUGGGUUCAGGAGGCGGGACUCAGAGCAGAGCCCAGGAGACAGGUCUUAGGGUGGGGCUAAGGCCAGACCCAGAGAAGGGCUCAGGAGGCGGGGCCGGGGCGGGGGGUUGACUAUGUCGUAGCACAUGGCCAGGCGGUGCGCGGACUCUGGGAGGCAGAGCUUUGGACGGGCCGACGUGGGGAGGGGCCCAGGGUCCAGGAGGCGGGGCCGAGUCCGGGCUGCCAGCUGCGCUCAGGAGGCGGGCCCUGGGAGGCGGAGCUUAGGGAGGGGCCGGUGUCGGGAGGGACCCAGGGACUGGGAGGCCGGUCGGGGCUGGGCUCAGGGGCCGAGACCUAGCUGGGCUUGGGGCGGGGCCGAGACGGAGCGAGGGAUCCAGGGUGUGGGAAACGGGGAGGGGUUUGAGGAGGGGAUCGGAAUGUGGCUCAAGUUGGGAGGCGUUACCUGCGGAGGGUUUGAGGCACGCCCAGGAGCGAGCCCACGGUCGGCCGACGCGGGGCCAGGGGCGGGCCCCAGGAUCCGGAGCUUCGGGCGGGGCCGAGUCUGGGUUUGGGGCCCGGGAGGCGGGGCCAGUUAGGGCGAGGGUCCCUGGGAUCGUCGGGUCAGGCCUUGGGCUAACGUAGACACUCUCGCAGUACCUCCGCCUUCAGGAAGGUCUUUUUAGCAGGGGCCUUACAGGUGCACGCUUCGGUCCUGGAGGCCUUAUCCUAACCUCUCCAUCAGCGCCACCCGUCUGGGGCCCGAAAGGAGGGAGCUUUCCCUCUGUCCUCCAGCCUUUGGACUGUCUCCAAACAAGCCAUUCGUUCACCAAAUACUUAUUAAGCACCUACCAUGUGCCUGACAAGGGAGAUGUAACGCUGUUGUUCCCCACCAGAACCAAAUGAGCGCAAGAUCUGACAAAGAAAAAAAAGGUUCAUCUUUUAUUCCCCCAAACACUUUCAUUUAAAUCAAGAGGAUGGGAUGUGGUUAUUGCUGUGUUUUUAGACAGAAUCAACGGUUUCUGUGUCUGAGAUGUUGCAUACACCCUCUCAGUCCCUCUAUCCUGAGAUGGAGUCACCUGAGGAUCCACAGCAAGUCCUAACCAGGGAUGGGUCUGGGUGAUUAAGGAAGGUUGGCUUCAGAACUGGGCCAGGGGCACUGCUUUGCUUUUGCUGUUUUGAUCAGCUCUCUGCCUGCAGGAGACAAGGAAAACCAAUGGGAACAGCUGGGGAAACUGAGUUACAGAGCUUUUCUGCACUGAGUCAUCAGGAGCAAAUGCUAGAUCAGAUAGGGUCUCUCUCUCUGCCACCCAGGCCAGAGUGCAGUUGACGCAGGGCAGGGGAGCCCCGAAGUGGAGCAUAGUGUGUCCGGAACUGGUGGGUUCUUGGUCUCACUGACUUCAAGAAUGAAGCCGUGGACCCUCACGGUGAGUGUCACAGUUCUUAAAGGCGGCGUGUCUGGAGUUUGUUCCUUCUGAUGCUCGGAUGUGUUCAGAGUUUCUUCCUUCUGGUGGGUUUGUGGUCUCGCUGGCUUCAGGAGUGAAGCUGCAGACCUUCAAAGUGAGUGUUACAGCUCUUAAGGUGGCGCGUCUGGAGUUGUUUGUUCCUCCCAUUGGGUUCAUAGUCUCGGUGGCUUCAGGAGUGAAGCUGCAGACCUUCGAGGUGAGUGUUACAGCUCAUAAAGGCAAUGUGGACCCAAAGAGUGAGCAGCAGCAAGAUUUAUUGCAAAGAGCAAAAGACCAAAGCUUCCACAGUGUGGAAAGGGACCCCAGUGGGUUGCCACUGCUGGCUGGGGCAGCCUGCUUUUAUUCCCUUAUCUGGCCCCACCCACAUCCUGCUGAUUGGUCCAUUUUACAGAGAGCCGAUUGGUCUGUUUUACAGAGAGCUGAUUGGUCUGUUUUGACAGGGUGCUGAUUUGUGCAUUUACAAUCCCUGAGCUAGAUACAAAAGUUCUCCAAGUCCCUACUAGAUUAGCUAGACACAGAGUGUCGAUUGGUGCAUUCACAAACCCUGAGCUGGACACAGGGUGCUGAUUGAUGUAUUUACAAACCUUGAGCUAGAUACAGAGUGCCGAUUGGUGUAUUUACAAUCCCUUAGCUAGACAUAAAGCUUCUCAAAGUCCCCACCAGACUCAGGAGACCAGCUGGCUUCACCAAGUGGAUCCCACACGGGGGCCACAGGUGGAGCUGCCUGCCACUCCCACGCCCUGUGCUGGUACUCCUCAGCCCUUGGGUGGUUGAUGGGACUGGGCGCCCUGGAGCAGGGGGCGGUGCUCAUUGGGGAGGCUUGGCACUCAUCAGGGAGGCUCAGGCUGCGCAGGAGCCCACGGAGGGUUGGGGGGAGGCUCAGGCAUGGUGGGCUGCAUGUGCCGAGCCCUGCCCUGCAGGGAAGCAGCUAAGGCCCUGCGAGAAACUGAGCAAAGCAGCUGCUGGCACAGGUGCUAAGCCCCUCACUGCCUGGGUCCAGCGGGGCUGGCAGGCCACUCUGAGUGCUGGGCCCAGUGAGCCCAUGCCCACCCGGAACUCGCGCUGGCCCGCAAGCGCCACGCCCAGCCCCGGUUCCUGCCCAGGCCUCUCCCUCUACACCUCCCUGCAAGCUGAGGGAGCCGGCUCCAGCCUCGGCCAGCACAGGAAGGGGCUCCCACAGUGCAGCGGCGGGCUGAAGGGCUCCUCAAGUGCCGCCAAAGUGGGAGCCCAGGCAGAGGAGGCACCGAGAGUGAGCUCGAGGGCUGCCGGCAUGCUCUCACCUCUCAAUAGCACGUGAGCGUUCUUGUCUUUACCCAAGAAAGAAUUCAAGGGCAAGCCGGAGGUAUAGAAGAAAACAGCUUUAUUGAAGAGGCAGCAUUACAGCCCUGUGACUGCUCCUGUAGGGCAGGGUUACCCUGGAGGCAAAGAGUAGCGGCAGAGAGUUUGCAAUCACAUUUAUACCCACUUUUAAUUGUAUGCAGAUUAAAGGGCAGUUUAUGCAGGAAUUUCUAGAAAAUGGGUAGUAACUUUUGAGUCAUUGGGUCAUUGCCAUGGAAAGGGGCAGUAACUCCCGGGUGUUGCCUUGGCAAUAGUCAACUCACAUAGCACACUGGUGGGCAUGUCUGAUGGAAAGCUGCUUCUGCCCCAGCCCUGUUUUAGCUAGUCCUCAAUUUGGUCUGGUGUCCAAGCCUCGCCUGUGGAGUCAAGUCCUGCCUCCUAUCUCACAGUGGCGUGAUCAUGACUCACUGCAGACUCAACACCCCCGUGCUCAAGCAGUUCUCCCACCUCAGCCUCCUGAGUUGCUGGGACCACAGGCACGUGCCACUACGCCCAGCUACAUUUUUUUGCAUUUUUUGUAGAGAUGGUGUUUCACUGUGUUGCCUAGGCUGGUCUCAAACUCCUGGGUUCAAGCAAUAUACCUACCUUAGCCUUCUAAAGUGCUGGGAUUACAGGUGCGAGCCACUACACCCAGCCCAAACUUACAUUUUUAAUCUCAAGUCACUUCUCUCUAGGUUUUGAUUUCUUCUUUUAAAUAGUGGAACUAAGAGCCUCUAUUUUAUAGGGUUGUUGGGAAGACAAAAAUGAAAGAACUGCUAUUCAAUGUUUAGUGAAGCGCUAUGCACAAUUUUGAAUAAUGAAGUUGGUGUUUAUUUUUUAUUAUUUGUUUAUUUAUUUUUUAGAGACGGGGUCUUGUCUGCUGCUCAAGCUGGAGUGCAGUAGUGCAAUCACAGCUUCGUGCAGCCUUGACCUCCUGGGCUCAAGAAAUCCUGCCACCUCAGCCUCCUGAGUAGCUGGGACUACAGGCAUGCAUCGCCAUGUCUGGCUAUUUAUUUAUUUGUUUGUUUUUUGUAGUGUUGGGGUCUCCCUAUGUUGCCCGGGCUGGUCUUGAACUCCUUGCCUUAAGCAAUCCUCCUGUCUUGGCCUCUCAAAACACUGAGAUUACAGGUGUGAACCACCAUGGCCAGCCUUAUUUUUAUUUUUAAAUCAGCCUUGUCGAGUUGAAUUGGUCAUUAAUCUUGUAUAAUGGUAAUUUGGGGCAGCAUUGGUUGGGCGGGGGGUGGGGAACAUUUAGGACCCUGUGGGCUACAGCUCGUAGCGUGGGCACUUAUUUUAUUUUGUUUUGUUUUGUUUUGUUUUAUUAUAUUAUAUUACAUUAUAUUAUAUUAUAUUAUAUUAUAUUAUAUUAUAUUAUAUUAUAUUUUUUUGAGACAGUGUCUCACUCUGUUGCCCAGACUGGAGUGCAGUAGCACGAUCUUAGCUCACUGCAACCUCUGCCUCCCAGGUUCAAGCGAUUCUCCUGCCUCAGCCUCCAGAGUAGCUGGAACUACAGAUGCGCACCACCACGCCCAGGUAAUUUUUGUAUUUCUAGUAGAGAUGGGGUUUCACCAUGUUGGCCAGGCUUGUCUCAAACUCCUGACCUCAGGUGAUACACCUGCCUCAGCCUCCCAAAGUGCUGGGAUUAUAGGCGUGAGCCACCGUGCCCGGCUGUGCUCUUAUGUUUGAUUUUUGCAGAACCACCCUUCCCUAAUGGAUGUCUCCUAGAUCCAAGGUGACUUUAUUCAUUUUAGAAUGAACUUACCCCAUUGAUACUGUAACCAAAGUUGGCAUACAUCACGAUUGGCAGAACCCGGUCAUGUUUAGCGAGAUGGAAGUGUUCUGGAAACCCCUCCUUCUUGUAGAUGUGGAGGUGAGGGUACGCAUUCUUCAGUGCCUGGUAAAGGGCUUCCUCUUGCCCCAAUUUGGGCAGGGGCAUCCCAAAGCCACCGUAGCCCACAAUAUCAAACUUGACCAAGUCCAUAAACUUGAUGUAGUUGGACAAGGGAUCUUGUUGACAUUGGGUCUCUUCUUCACGGUGGUCAUCCCAUGGUCUCAUGUGAUGAUGACGCUGAGGUGUUCUGCAGGCUGUGCUUCUCAGUGGCUCCCACCAGAUACCUGAUGGUCCUGUCGAUUUGCUGAAUCAUCAACUUCCUAUUCUCUGCCUCUGGCCUGAAUCGAUGUCCCACGUUAUCUGGCUCUCUGUAACACAGAGUCACAAAGUCAAAGUCUUCCUUGGUGAACCAGUUCAUGACAGUAUCGAUGUUCGCACUCCGCUCUGUCUCGUUGCUGUUUGGGUGAGUGUAGGACUCCACCAGGGACUGCUUGACAGCCUCACCCUCGUAUUUAGCACCUCCCCUGGAAUAGUGGGAUGAUGCUGCUUUGUUGCCCUGCAAGUACAAGAAGAAAAUUCCGUCAGGGCCAUUUAUCAUACCUUUCUCACAAUCAGCAAAGCUCGAGUUGUCUACAUCUGUGCCCCAGUCCAAAGACAUAGAAAAUAUGUGGUCUUUGGAGUCAGACAGGGUGGAGUUAGAUUCUGGGCUUCCCCAGGAUCUCAUAGCAUCUACAACACUGUUAGUUACAAGAUGUGCUAUUAUUUUAUGGGCUACUAAGCAGAAAAAUGCUGCCAACGAGACCGUGACUUACCAGUGAUUGUAAGGUGUAUUCCAACUUCAGAGAUGGCAAAAUGAAAAAUAAUUCCUUAGAAUAGAGGGAGACGGUAAUUUCUGUGUUGUUGGUGGUGAAUUUGUGCAUGUGUGUUUUUUAUAUAUAUACAUAUAUAUAUAUAUAUAUAUAUACACACACAUAUACGUGUAUAUAUGUGUAUAUAUAGACAUACCUAUAUACAUAUACAUAUAUAUGUGUAUAUAUGGUGCUGCAGUGGUACAAUCAUAGCUCGUUGCACCCUUGAACUCCUGGGUUUAAGCGAUCCUCCCACCUCAGCCUCUUGAGUAGCUGGGGCCACAGGCAUGUACCACCAUACAUAUAUAUAUAUAUAUAUAUAUAUAUAUUUUUUUUUUUUUUUUUUUUUUUUUUUUUUUUGUGACACGGUGUCACUCUCUCACCUAGGCUGGAGUGCAGUGGCACGAUCUCAGCUCACUGCAACUUCUGACUCCUGGGUCCAAGCAAUUGUCCUGCCUCAGUCUCCCAAGUAGCUGGGAUUAUAGACACGUGCCACUAUGCCCAGCUAAGUUUUGUAUUUUUAGUUGAGAUAGAGUUUUGUCAUGUUGGCCAGGCUGGUUUCGAACCCCUGGGCUGAAGUGAUCCACCUGCCUUGGCCUCCCAAAGUGCUGGGAUUACAUGUGUGAGCCACCGCACCUAGCCCUAAUUUUUUUUUUUUUUUUUUUUUUUUUUGUAGAGAUGAGGUCUCGCUAAUUUGCCCAGGCUGGUCCUGAACUCCUGGGUUCAACUAAUUCUCCUGCCUCAGCCUCUCAAAGUGCUGGGAUUACAGGCAUGAGACACCACGCCAGGCUGGUGGUGAGUUUUAAAAUUUUCCAGUGCCUCAGUGUUUCUACCUGUAGAAUGCCAAAAAGUAGAUGGCAUCUUUGCGAGGAUGAAGCCGACUAGCUUUUUUUAAUUUUUUUUUGAGACAGAAUUUCUCUCUUGUCACCCAGGCUGGAGUGCAAUGGUGUGAUCUUGGCUCACUGCAACCUCUGCCUCCUGGAUUCAAGUGAUUCUCCUCUCUCAGCCUCCAAGUAGCUGGGAUUACAAAGCCAGCUAGCUUUAAGAUACAGUGUUGGGCAUCACAUUUUGGCACGGAGCAGGCACUCUUUUCUUUGCCCUCAGGUGGGACUUAGCCACCACAAGCCUUCCCUGGUGUGUGCAGUGGGUGAUGAAUGCUUGCCUGCUCAGCACCCACUACAUGGUGGGCUGGGUCACAUUACUCUGACUCCCCCUUGAGCUUCAGUCCGUGCCUGGUUCAAGAUGUAUUGACUCAACUCGAGGAUCCAGAGGUGGGAUGUGGCUCUGGCCUGGCCAGAGGACCGAAGAUGCUGCAUGCCAUGGCUACAGCAACUGGUUCAGCUUUGGGCUCAUGUCCUAGUCAGAGCCAAUGAGAUGUAAUCUUGGGAUAUCUGCUGGGCUGUUGGGAAGGGGACAGGCUGCCCUGCUCAUCCCCAUUCCUGAUGCUGAGGGAUCUGAGAAAAUCACUUGUAAAAUUCGGGGGUGUUUGGAAGAUGGGGAGACUGAUGUCUCCUUCUCUCUACAGACAUCUGAUCAGCUACAGAGCUUGACUGACCUACCCAGAGGCAGAAUGAUAUGGUGGUUAAAAGUGUGCCCUGGGCCGAGAUCUUGCCACUGCACUCCAGCCUGGGUGACAGAGUGAGACUCCAUCUCAAAAGAAAAAAAAAAGUGUGCUCUGGGCUGGUCGCAGGAGUUUAUGACUGUAAUCCCAGCAGUUUGGGAGGCUGAGGCAGGAGGAUCGCUUGAAGUCAGGAGUUUGAGAUCAGACCCUAUCUCUAGAAAAAUGUUUUAAAAAUUAGCUGGGUUGGUGGUGAAUGCCUGUAGUCCCAGCUACUCAGGAGGCUGAGGCGGGAAGAUUGCUGGAGCCCGGGAGUUCAAGGCUGCAGUGAGCCAUGAUCAGGCCACUGCACUCCAGUUUGAGGGACAGAGAGAGACCCCAUCUCCCUAAAGCACAAAAAAGUGUGCUCUGGUGCCACACUGCCUGGUUAGAUCCUUUGUCCACCACUUAGAUGCAUGUUAUAUAAAUGCUCUCCUCAGUUUCCUCAUCUGUAACUUGGGGAUGAUAAUGCUGCCCCAUUAAGUGGUUAUGGGGACUAAAUUCAUGUGGGCGCAUUGGUAAGUAUUCAACAAGCUUGAUUUUUUCCUGGAGAGGGAGAAAGAGCAUACAGUGAAGUGGCAUGCUCAGGUGCAUUGGGGCAAGGAUUAUUUCCUCUGGCUUCUGCCUCCUGGGAGGUACUAAGGAUGGAUCUGAAAUGUGUCUGCAGACCCCAGAGUUGGGGACUGCAGAGGGAAAUUGAGAUCAGGGACCCCAGUCUGGCAGAAAUGGGUGCAGCAUGGGGCAUUGGGUUCCUUCCAUCAGAGGCAUGGGGUGUGUUGCAGACAGUCAUGAGAUGUGGCUGAAUCUUGCAAGGGAGCUGCAGUCCUAGGGUUGCUGCUUGAGACAAUGACCGCUGUCAGUGGAACCUGGUGACCUUCACCCUUCUCUGUCAGGCUGCAGACAGCAAGAGAUGGCAGGAGGUUACACCCAACAGGAAAAGGGCCAUUGCUAUCCCACAGGUUGCCAUAGGAGGAGAUGACAUCUCUUCCCUCUCCUCCUCCAGCAGUGUCAGCUGGGGAAGAGGUGGGUGGGGGUGCACAAAAGAGUAGACCACAGACCAUGCUCCUUCUCCUCCAGUCUGCUGGGGCCCCAAGAGAGUCUGCAGCCCUUGGCCAGGGACCGGCUGAUACAGGAGAACAAAAGAUCUCAGUCUGGGAUAACAUGGUGGUGCAGCUGAUCCUCUGGAACUCCCUGUGAGAUCAGACUGGAGCCAGUCUCCAGCUGAGACCACAUCUCACUUAGCUCCUUCCCUGCCAUAUCCUGUUUUCCUUACUCCUAUCUACUGAGAGUCCUGAAUGAAUUACAUGCACUCAAUCCCUGCCUCAGGCUCUGCUUUUAGGGAACUUGACCUAAGACAGAUAUCUUAGUACUAAAUACUUUGCAAGGCCUCAGAAGCUCUGCUAUCCACAGGCAGGUGAGAUAUUACCUUCCCUACCACCUGGCAGUCAUAGUCUAUGAUGCGAUUCAGCUUUGUGGAAGUGCUUCUGUAAAGAACUUCCCCCAACUUAAGAUGAUCUUAAUUUGCUUACUUGUUUACUGUCCAUUUAGCUGCUGUAAAAUGUGAGCUCCAAAUCAGUGGUCAUGUCUGGUUAGUUACCCAUUUCCUGGGACCUAGAACGGGCCUAGCUCAGAGCAUGUGCUCACUAUUGAUGGAAUGCAUGUUGAAAGAACGCAUGAAUCUCAUCUCCUUUUGUGGGUGAAAAACUCAUCCUAUUCUCACUCCUGAUUAACUUUCCUUCUUUUUUUUUUUUUUUUUUUUUUUCAAAACGGAGCCAUGAUCUGUCACCCAGGCUGGAGUGCAAUGGUGUGAUCUCAUCUCGCUGCAACCUCUGCCUUCUGGAUUAAAGCAAUUCUCCUGCCUCAGCCUCCCGGGUAUCUGGGAUUACAGUUGCACGCCACCACACCUGGCUAAUUUUUUGUAUUUUUAAUAGAGACAGGGUUUCACCAUGUUGGCCAGGCUUGUCUUGAACUCCUGACGUCGUGAUCUGCCUGCUUUGGCCUCCCAAAGUCCUGGGAUUACAGGCAUGAGCCACCGUACCCAGCCACUCUUGAUUAACUUAAUGGAAAUAUUUACAGAGAUUCUUUCUCUUCUGGGUUCUAGCGUCUUAUCUGUAACCUCUGCAGGUAAUACAUUUUCCUUCCUGAUAAAAGCAUUUCUAUGGUUGCUUUUACUUGCAAAUCCUCUAAUACUUAUUUAUUCCAUUUCUGAUUGGCAUUAGACAUAAUUCUCAAUUUUUAGUGACAGCACUUUUGUUAACUUACAUAUCAAUCGACUUUGCCUUGAAAUGUGACAUUGACUAGAAGGAUGAAACUUCUAACAUGCUGUAGAACAUAGUUUCACUGGCUAACUUAUUAUUUAGAAGAAGCUAAUAUUGCCAUUAUGAGGGACUUAGGUGGCUCUGAAGAACCAGUUGUAUUUCUGAUGUUUGCAAUGUUAAAUCACAGAUAUUGCCAAUGUGAAAUAGGUUCUGUAUGCUGUGUUCUCAAUACACACCUUUUCCAAAGAUAUCCCAAGCUGUAGUCUUAGGAAACUGUGAUUUUUCUUAUUUGGUCUCAUAGGAAUUUGGGGAGCUAUGCAGGAUCUCCAUAAAAUGAGCUCCAGAAAGACACAUGUGUGCACAUGCACACACACUCACACACACACUCACACAUGUACCACACCACAAUUGACUGUUUAUUUGGGACCCACGAUUAUCAGAAGUG
This 9897-nucleotide long non-coding RNA is filed under the name Homo sapiens (human). RNAcentral describes it as "non-protein coding LINC02018:17". Lineage: Eukaryota; Metazoa; Chordata; Mammalia; Primates; Hominidae. The record is from RNAcentral.